GACGAACGCUGGCGGCGUGCUUAACACACGCAAGUCGAACGGAAAGGCCCCUUCGGGGGUACUCGAGUGGCGAACAGGUGAGUAACACGUGAGUAACCUGCCCUUGACUUCGGGAUAACUUCAGGAAACUGGGGCUAAUACCGGAUAGGAAUCCUUGCUGCAUGGUGGGGGUUGGAAAGCUUCGGCGGUUUUGGAUGGACUCGCGGCUUAUCAGCUUGUUGGUGGGGUAGUGGCUUACCAAGGCUUUGACGGGUAGCCGGCCUGAGAGGGCGACCGGCCACAUUGGGACUGAGAUACGGCCCAGACUCCUACGGGAGGCAGCAGUGGGGAAUAUUGCACAAUGGGCGGAAGCCUGAUGCAGCAACGCCGCGUGCGGGAUGACGGCCUUCGGGUUGUAAACCGCUUUCAGCAGGGGCGAAGCUUGUGGUGACGGUACCUGCAGAAGAAGCACCGGCUAACUACGUG
This 465-nucleotide ribosomal RNA is filed under the name uncultured bacterium. RNAcentral describes it as "partial 16S ribosomal RNA". It matches the Rfam family "Bacterial small subunit ribosomal RNA", at positions 28 to 507 of the family's 1533-position model. The record is from RNAcentral.